RNAcentral lists this ribosomal RNA (253 nucleotides) under uncultured bacterium. Its description in RNAcentral is "partial 16S ribosomal RNA". It matches the Rfam family "Bacterial small subunit ribosomal RNA", at positions 524 to 776 of the family's 1533-position model. The record is from RNAcentral.
UACAGGGGGGGCAAGCGUUGUUCGGAAUUACUGGGCGUAAAGGGUCUGUAGGUGGCCAACUAAGUCAGACGUGAAAUCCCUCAGCUUAACUGGGGAACUGCGUCUGAUACUGGAUGGCUUGAGUGCAGGAGAGGAAUGCGGAAUUCCAGGUGUAGCGGUGAAAUGCGUAGAUAUCUGGAGGAACACCGGUGGCGAAGGCGGCAUUCGGGACUGUAACUGACACUGAGAGACGAAAGCCAGGGGAGCAAACGGG